This is a small nucleolar RNA of Malania oleifera, 131 nucleotides long. RefSeq annotates it as small nucleolar RNA snoR74. Lineage: Eukaryota; Viridiplantae; Streptophyta; Magnoliopsida; Santalales; Ximeniaceae. The record is from RefSeq and is a predicted model, not a curated record. The transcript has a single exon.
AAAAAAGCAGGGAGUUAUUAUCAUUAGUGAGUGGCCCCCUCGUAAACAUCAGGGAAAGUAUUUUCAUUGUUUUUGGGUGAGCCUCUGGAAAUGUUAAAAUGAAAGAAGGUUCAGUAAACAAUGACACAUUG